RNAcentral lists this unclassified non-coding RNA (19 nucleotides) under Chlamydomonas reinhardtii. Its description in RNAcentral is "small RNA Cre_1002". Lineage: Eukaryota; Viridiplantae; Chlorophyta; Chlorophyceae; Chlamydomonadales; Chlamydomonadaceae. The record is from RNAcentral.
CCAAGUUCCACCCACACGG